Marmota monax (woodchuck) is the source of this 737-nucleotide long non-coding RNA. RefSeq lists it as uncharacterized. The transcript is spliced from 2 exons. The record is from RefSeq and is a predicted model, not a curated record. NCBI's taxonomy places the organism in Eukaryota, Metazoa, Chordata, Mammalia, Rodentia, Sciuridae.
CUGCGACCUAGUCGCCCUCACAGACGCCUCUUCCGCUAGCUGCGCGCCCGCCUCGCAGCCACCGCCCCCUAAGUCGCUGCCGUCCUCGGUGCCGUCCUCGGUGUCGUCCUCGCUGCCGCCGCCGCCGCCGCGGCGCGCGUCCGAUUUCACGCACACCGCCGUGGCCGCGCACGCGCCUCUGCGCGCUGGCGUCACUUAGCAACCGACAGUUCUCGGGUGGGCUAACCGCCAGGGUUUAGGCCCCCAGGGGCCUCGGGCGGACUCUGCGGCUUUCCUCCACCGCCCAGACCCGCUGCCCCGGCUGAGCAAGGCCCCCCAGGGUGUGGCUACCCUGCGGGCACCUGGCUCCGGGUAAGUCACGUCACCACACGUCACUGUAUAGCGUCACCGGUGCGCGUCACUGCGGAGGGGAAGGUCCAGGGCACCUGUGGACUGAGCGAUGGCCUCGUCGGGACCGGCGCGGACCGGAUCGGCAAGUUCUUCCAGAUGCUGGAAAGUUCUCCAAGAGUGGGACCCGAAGGGGCUGAGUGACAUUCGUUAACUUAGCAGCAGGGUGUGAUGGCCCGAGCCUUGAAUUGCCAUGCCUCAGAGUCCUCGUUCUUGUGAAGACACAGCAAGAAGUUGCCUAUCUACAAGCCAGGAAAGGGAUCCUCACCUAGCCCUGGGUCUGCUUGCUGGUGCUUUAUCAUGGACCUCUCAGCCUCCUAAACUGUGAGAAAUAAAUGUUUGUUGUUUAA